RNAcentral lists this long non-coding RNA (1398 nucleotides) under Astyanax mexicanus (Mexican tetra). RNAcentral's name for it is "lncRNA (ENSAMXG00005014830.1)". Lineage: Eukaryota; Metazoa; Chordata; Actinopteri; Characiformes; Acestrorhamphidae. The record is from RNAcentral.
UUAAUUUGCCGAAAAGCAUGGGACAAAAAAACAGGAAACCUGUGUGUUAGUCCUCUCACCUCCAUGAGGAUCUUGAGGCGGGGAAUCCUCUGGAAAGGCAGCGACAGGAAGGAGUCGAGGGGCAGGCGGUUACAGCAGGGGUUGUCCUGUAGCUUACACAGAAUCUCCACAACCUCAGCACUCUCAUUCCUGACCAGAGACAACAAUUGCAGUAUGAGCAACUGUCUCUACUGUCCAGAGACAACUCAUUUUGGAACAUGAGGCUAUGAGGAUUUGAUUGCAUUCAGCAACAAGGUAAGCAUACUGCACCUCCAGUAUCCAUCAUGCCAGAGAACCCAGUUCCACUGCUCCACAGCUGAAUACUGGGGGCUUUAUAACCGUAUAUAGCCCACAUCUGGUAUUAGACAUGGUUCCAGUAGGUUAAAGGUUGUUUAUCCGCUCCAGAAAGUCCUAUUCUUUUGGCAAUACUUUUCUACAGAAACUAGACAAGCUGUUUGUGUGUGUGUGUGGAUUUGAUAUCUGUGUUAACAAUGGUAAUCAUCUAACAAAAGCUCUUGUUACACUGGUAAAAGGCCUCAGAAUCUAGCAGAAAGUCUUCUCUGAACAGAAGAAACAGUUACUAUUAAUUUCAGAAGAAACAAUGAAUGGACAGGUGUCCCAAUACUUCUGUAGAGUAUUUACGUAUAUAGUGUAUUUAAGCAUAACAAUGGUUGCUAAUUCUACUGUACCUCAGGUUGGCUAGAGUUUGUUUCUGGUAUGGCAUGUUGCGGAUGUAGUCCACAUAUACACCAAACGGCCCACUGGCGUAAUGAUGCACCACAUCACAGACAGCAUUACACAGCAAACUGGACUCCAACUUCUGCACCAUUGCGUCCAUGAAGCUAAAAACACACAUAAACAUAGUAAGAUCAAUUCAUUUACAAUGCCAAAUCAGAAAAAGCUGGGAUAGUAUGGAAAAUUCCCAUGUCUUUUAUUUGAUUGCAGAUAGUAUGAACCCAAUGAACCCUAUUUCAUGUGGCGGAAAUUGUCCAACAGGCUAAUUAGGAAAGCAGAUCAGGUCGAUUCUCGGGAGUUGACUCACGUCUGGCUGAUCUCUCUGAUCUUGCUGAUUCCAGAGAAAAGAGCUUUUUGGUCUCUGGGCUCCAUGGCCGACUUCAGCUCUGCACAUUCCUGGAAAUGUUCCACAGCUACAGCCAGCCCAUCCAGAUAGGACUGCUCAGUGAUCACCACCUCAUACAUACUCUACAGAGAGAGAGAGAAACAGAGAAACAGAGAGAGGGAGAUUAUAAAAGUUUUAUUGAGGUUAGAUGUUAGAUGUUGAUUACCACUCCAUCCCAUCCCAAAAGUAAUCUUCAGUUAAAAAGUUAAAAACUCAUAAUAAAUAAUAUAGCAGACAUA